Populus euphratica (Euphrates poplar) is the source of this 328-nucleotide long non-coding RNA. RefSeq lists it as uncharacterized. The record is from RefSeq and is a predicted model, not a curated record. NCBI's taxonomy places the organism in Eukaryota, Viridiplantae, Streptophyta, Magnoliopsida, Malpighiales, Salicaceae. The transcript is spliced from 5 exons.
GAGAACAACAAGCUGGUAUAGUUCGUGGAACAAUUUUGAUACCAUGCAGGACAGCUCUGAAGGGAAGCUUUCCACUCAAUGGCACAUAUUUUCAAGUUAACGAGGUAUUUGCUGAUCACAAAUCUAGUUAUGACCCCAUUAUUGUUCCCAGAGAAUUGCUAUGGAACCUCGUAAAGAGGACUUUAUAUGUUGGGUCAUCAACAAAAUCAAUAUUUAGAGAUUUGUCAUUAAAGGAGAUUCACCAAAACUUUUGGACAGGUUUUACUUGUGUGAAAGCAUUCGAGCGAGGAACAGGUGCUCCAAAACCUCUUGCAAGGAGAUUCCACUG